UUAAGCGACUAAGCGUACACGGUGGAUGCCCUGGCAGUCAGAGGCGAUGAAGGACGUGCUAAUCUGCGAUAAGCGUCGGUAAGGUGAUAUGAACCGUUAUAACCGGCGAUUUCCGAAUGGGGAAACCCAGUGUGUUUCGACACACUAUCAUUAACUGAAUCCAUAGGUUAAUGAGGCGAACCGGGGGAACUGAAACAUCUAAGUACCCCCGAGGAAAAAGAAAAUCAACCGAGAUUCCCCCAGUAGCGGCGAGCGAACGGGGAGGAGCCCAGAGCCUGAAUCAGUGUGUGUGUUAGUGGAAGCGUCUGGAAAGGCGCGCGAUACAGGGUGACAGCCCCGUACACAAAAAUGCACAUGCUGUGAGCUCGAUGAGUAGGGCGGGACACGUGGUAUCCUGUCUGAAUAUGGGGGGACCAUCCUCCAAGGCUAAAUACUCCUGACUGACCGAUAGUGAACCAGUACCGUGAGGGAAAGGCGAAAAGAACCCCGGCGAGGGGAGUGAAAAAGAACCUGAAACCGUGUACGUACAAGCAGUGGGANCA
This 542-nucleotide ribosomal RNA is filed under the name Escherichia coli PA22. RNAcentral describes it as "bacterial LSU rRNA". It matches the Rfam family "Bacterial large subunit ribosomal RNA", at positions 1 to 581 of the family's 2925-position model. The record is from RNAcentral. Lineage: Bacteria; Pseudomonadati; Pseudomonadota; Gammaproteobacteria; Enterobacterales; Enterobacteriaceae.